RNAcentral lists this long non-coding RNA (732 nucleotides) under Homarus americanus (American lobster). RNAcentral describes it as "uncharacterized LOC121879756, transcript variant X1". Lineage: Eukaryota; Metazoa; Arthropoda; Malacostraca; Decapoda; Nephropidae. The record is from RNAcentral.
GUCGUCAGUCGGUCGUCGGUGACAGCUCACGGCGGCCAUUGUUGUAGGGGACGGGAGAAGCACCGGGACACAGGACGAUUAUCACACUAUACUGACUGGAAAUAACUAAUGCAAAUGUUACAACAAAACUUUGAAAAAUUAAACUGUACCAUAACAGCUGAAAAUGACCAAGUGGAGCCUGGAACAAGAGGUGCCACCACCAACACUGCACCAUCACCACCUAUGCCAAGGUGACAUGAUGCAACAUCUUCCCGAGGCAGUGGACCAGAAGGUAUGACACUGUAGACACUGGGAAGAAUACUUUACUACCAUCACCAAGUGGCAUCAUCAACAUAACCAGCCAACUGAAGUUAACCUGAGAUGGACACAAACUUCACCUGCUGCUGUAUGGUAAGUCCAUUGUUAUUAAUAGCUAAACUCUUAAUUGAACAUAUCUGUACUCAAGGCCAUAACCAGGGUGUAAGACAGUACAGUAGGCCCUGUUCAGAGCUAAGAAGGUGGAUGGAUAUUGACAAAGUUUUGCAUAGAGAUGGGUAGAUAUGGCGUAGGUAUAUGGAGCGGAGGGUGGAAACCAGUUAGGUCAAGAGAUGCACAAGUCUAAAUGUGGAAAGGAAGAGAGCCAGGGGUGGUCAAGUUUAUCAACUUUCCCUGCCUAACCUAACCUACUAAAGUUAAUGGAUAGGGAAGACUGCUGGAGAUAUGAUGGAAGAUUACAGAGGGACCCACCAAAUU